GGAUUAGGCAUGCAAGUCGAACGAGGAUAUAUCCUUCGGGAUAUAAGCCGAGUGGCGCAAGGGUGAGCAAUGCAUAGAUUACCUGCCUUUAGGAUAAGGACAACUUUGUGAAAACGGAGCUAAUACUUAAUAACACAGAAGAAAAUAAUUUUCUUUUGUCAAAGGGAGGGUAGCAAUACCUUUCGCCUAGAGAGGGGUUUAUGUCCUAUCAGCUUGUUGGUGGGGGUAACGGCCCACCAAGGCGAAGACGGGUAGCUGGUCUGAGAGGAUGGUCAGCCACACUGGGACUGAGACACUGCCCAGACUCCUACGGGAGGCUGCAGUCGAGAAUCUUUCGCAAUGCCCGAAAGG
This 351-nucleotide ribosomal RNA is filed under the name uncultured Planctomycetota bacterium. RNAcentral's name for it is "bacterial SSU rRNA". It matches the Rfam family "Bacterial small subunit ribosomal RNA", at positions 46 to 382 of the family's 1533-position model. The record is from RNAcentral. Lineage: Bacteria; Pseudomonadati; Planctomycetota.